UCAAGCGAACAAGGGCGCAGGGCGAAUGCCUUGGCACUGGGAGCCGAUGAAAGACGUGAUAAGCUGCGAUAAGCUUCGGGGAGCUGCAAAUAAGCAUUGAUCCGGAGAUUUCUGAAUGAGGAAACUCACCUGGGUUCAUACUCAGGUACGUUAUACUGAACUUCAAAAUAGGUAUAUCGAGGGAACCGCCUGAACUGAAACAUCUAAGUAGGGCGAGGAAGAGACAUCAAACGAGAUUCCGUAAGUAGUGGCGAGCGAACGCGGAAGAGGGCAAACCGAGAGUAGAAAUACUUUCGGGGUACGGACUGCUUUUAAGACUUAAUCUGUUAACCGAACGGCAUGGGAAGGCCGGUCAGAGAGUGUGAGAACCACGUAGGUGAAAACGACAAGAGCCGAGCGAAUUCCAGAGUACGGCCAGACACGUGAAACCUGGUCGGAAUACGGGGGGACCACCCUCCAACCCUAAAUACUACCCAGUGACCGAUAGCGUAUAGUACUGUGAAGGAAAGGUGAAAAGCACCCCGGGAGGGGAGUGAAAAAGAACCUGAAACCCUGUGCCUACAAGCACCUAGAGCGCGUCAAAGCGUGAUAGGGUACUUUUUGUAGAACGGUCCGGCGAGCGAUUGUAUGCAGCAAGGUUAAGGACUUAAGGUCUGGAGCCGAAGCGAAAGCGAGUUUGAAAAGGGCGUUAAGUUGCAUAUAAUGGGCCCGAAACCGGGUGACCUACCCAUGGUCAGGUUGAAGUGGAAGUAAAAUUCCAUGGAGGACCGAACCGACCUCCGUUGAAAAGGCGGCGGAUGAACUGUGGGUAGCGGAGAAAUUCCAAUCGAACCCGGAGAUAGCUGGUUCUCCCCGAAAUAGUUUUAGGACUAGCCUCAAGUUAGAUACCUGGAGGUAAAGCACUGAAUAGCCUAGCGGCCGAGAGGUUAGCGAAGCUUAUCAAACUCAGAAUGCCAGAGUAUUGAUGCUUGGGAGUCAGACAGUGUCAGAUAAAUGUCAUUGUCAAAAGGGAAACAGCCCAGAUCUACAGCUAAGGUCCCAAAGUCAGGUUAAGUGGAAAACGAUGUGAAGAUACGCAGACAACCAGGAUGUUGGCUCAGAAGCAGCCACUCAUUCAAAGAGUGCGUAAUAGCUCACUGGUCGAGCGUCUUUGCGCGGAGAAUUUAACGGGGCUAAACCUGACACCGAAGCUUAGGCAGCAUGUUUACAUGCUGGGUAGGGGAGCGUUGUAUACGCGGUGAAACAGUAGCGCAAGCGGCUGUGGAGUGUAUAGAAGUGAGAAUGCCGGAAUGAGUAGCGCGAAUGCAGUGAGAAUCUGCAUGGCCGAAAGCCUCAGGUUUCUGGAGGAAGGUUCGUCCGCUCCAGGUUAGUCGGGAGCUAAGGUGAGGCCUAACGGCGUAGCCGAUGCACAGACGGUAGAGAUUCCGUCACCACCAAAAGAGUUAAGCACAGGGACACAUAUGAAGUCUCGGAGCCGGGUGUUGGUUCCGGUAGCGAUCGAGGGAAGUUAGUACCGAAGUCCGGGAUGGAAGAUGGCGAGAAAAGCUGUGUGUAUUUCUGCGGUGCCCGUACCGCAAACCGACACAGGUAGGUAGGAAGAAGAUUCUAAGGCCAACGGGAGAAGGGUUGUUAAGGAACUCGGCAAAUUGACCCCGUAACUUCGGGAGAAGGGGUGCUGCAGCAAUGCAGCCGCAGAGAAUCGGCCCAAGCAACUGUUUACCAAAAACACAGGUUUGUGCUAAAUCGAAAGAUGACGUAUACGAGCUGACGCCUGCCCGGUGCUGGAAGGUUAAGAGGAGAUGUGCAAGCAUUGAAUCGAAGCCCCAGUGAACGGCGGCCGUAACUAUAACGGUCCUAAGGUAGCGAAAUUCCUUGUCAGGUAAGUUCUGACCCGCAUGAAAGGCGUAAUGAUUUGGGCACUGUCUCAACAGCCCGCCCGGCGAA
RNAcentral lists this ribosomal RNA (1944 nucleotides) under human gut metagenome. Its description in RNAcentral is "bacterial LSU rRNA". It matches the Rfam family "Bacterial large subunit ribosomal RNA", at positions 3 to 2040 of the family's 2925-position model. The record is from RNAcentral.